Molecule: ribosomal RNA, 483 nt
Filed under: uncultured bacterium
Lineage: Bacteria
Description: partial 16S ribosomal RNA
Rfam family: Bacterial small subunit ribosomal RNA
Source: RNAcentral
AUUGAACGCUGGCGGCAGGCCUAACACAUGCAAGUCGAGCGGAUGAAGGGAGCUUGCUCCUGGAUUCAGCGGCGGACGGGUGAGUAAUGCCUAGGAAUCUGCCUGGUAGUGGGGGAUAACGUCCGGAAACGGGCGCUAAUACCGCAUACGUCCUGAGGGAGAAAGUGGGGGAUCUUCGGACCUCACGCUAUCAGAUGAGCCUAGGUCGGAUUAGCUAGUUGGUGGGGUAAAGGCCUACCAAGGCGACGAUCCGUAACUGGUCUGAGAGGAUGAUCAGUCACACUGGAACUGAGACGCGGUCCAGACUCCUACGGGAGGCAGCAGUGGGGAAUAUUGGAAGAUGGGCGAAAGCCUGAUCCAGCCAUGCCGCGUGUGUGAAGAAGGUCUUCGGAUUGUAAAGCACUUUAAGUUGGGAGGAAGGGCAGUAAGUUAAUACCUUGCUGUUUUGACGUUACCAACAGAAUAAGCACCGGCUAACUUCGU